RNAcentral lists this ribosomal RNA (497 nucleotides) under uncultured bacterium. RNAcentral describes it as "partial 16S ribosomal RNA". It matches the Rfam family "Bacterial small subunit ribosomal RNA", at positions 28 to 507 of the family's 1533-position model. The record is from RNAcentral.
GAUGAACGCUGGCGGCGUGCCUAAUACAUGCAAGUCGAGCGAACGGACGAGAAGCUUGCUUCUCUGAUGUUAGCGGCGGACGGGUGAGUAACACGUGGAUAACCUACCUAUAAGACUGGGAUAACUUCGGGAAACCGUAGCUAAUACCGGAUAAUAUUUUGAACCGCAUGGUUCAAAAGUGAAAGACGGUCUUGCUGUCACUUAUAGAUGGAUCCGCGCUGCAUUAGCUAGUUGGUAAGGUAACGGCUUACCAAGGCAACGAUGCAUAGCCGACCUGAGAGGGUGAUCGGCCACACUGGAACUGAGACACGGUACAGACUACUACGGGAGGCAGCAGUAGGGAAUCUUCCGCAAUGGGCGAAAGCAUGACGGAGCAACGCCGCGUGAGUGAUGAAGGUCUUCGGAUCGUAAAACUCUGUUAUUAGGGAAGAACAUAUGUGUAAGUAACUGUGCACAUCUUGACGGUACCUAAUCAGAAAGCCACGGCUAACUACGUG